This is a long non-coding RNA of Parasteatoda tepidariorum (common house spider), 491 nucleotides long. RefSeq lists it as uncharacterized. NCBI's taxonomy places the organism in Eukaryota, Metazoa, Arthropoda, Arachnida, Araneae, Theridiidae. The record is from RefSeq and is a predicted model, not a curated record.
ACAAGCAGCUAAAAGCGUCUUCAAAAUUCACUCAAUCAAUAAAUUGAUGUUGUUUAUUGUGAUAUCCAGUGCAUUUUUAUCUGGAAUACAAAAUAUAUAAUUUUUCUACAAUUUGCUACCACACUACAAUUUGCAUUCCAGUUACCAGAUAGGAUCACCAUAAAGUUUAAACCUCAAGAUGGAUGGGAAAAUGGCAGUAAACGGCCUCAGGCUCCCAGAUAAAUUUUGAUGAUGUUUAUAUCCAGCAGCUUUUAAGAAUGCGUAGACAGCUAUAAAGGAUUUACGAUUCGAUUGGAUUCUAAAUAUAGGGUGUUCCUGAAAUUUGGGAUAUGCAAUCCGAAUAGUUAAAUCAAGAGAAUAGUGGCACUUCCAAGAAUGUAAACAUAUGAUUUGCAUAAUUAUUACCUGGAAUGAUGUGACUAUGGCUGAGAGAGUCUCAUAAAUGGCUUCCCCUGGAGAUCUUGGCACUGGCCGAAAAGGAGUAACGACAU